AGCUAACUCUGGCGGCAGGCCUAACACAUGCAAGUCGAACGAACUCUUCGGAGUUAGUGGCGGACGGGUGAGUAACACGUGGGAACGUGCCUUUUGGUUCGGAAUAUCUCAGGGAAACUUGUGCUAAUACCGAAUGUGCCCUUCGGGGGAAGGAUUUAUCGCCAUUAGAGCGGCCCGCGUCUGAUUAGCUAGUUGGUGAGGUAACGGCUCACCAAGGCGACGAUCCGUAGCUGGUCUGAGAGGAUGACCAGCCACACUGGGACUGAGACACGGCCCAGACUCCUACGGGAGGCAGCAGUGGGGAAUCUUGCGCAACGGGGGAAAGCAUGACGCAGCCAUGCCGCGUGAAUGAUGAAGGUCUGAGGAUUGUAAAAUUCUUUCACCGGGGACGAUAAUGACGGUACCGGGAGAAGAAGCCCCGGCUAACUUCGUG
Molecule: ribosomal RNA, 433 nt
Filed under: uncultured bacterium
Lineage: Bacteria
Description: partial 16S ribosomal RNA
Rfam family: Bacterial small subunit ribosomal RNA
Source: RNAcentral